Molecule: ribosomal RNA, 238 nt
Filed under: uncultured bacterium
Lineage: Bacteria
Description: partial 16S ribosomal RNA
Rfam family: Bacterial small subunit ribosomal RNA
Source: RNAcentral
CGGCACGGGUGAGUAACACGUAUCCAACCUGCCGUCUGCUCUUGGCCAGCCUUCUGAAAGGAAGAUUAAUCCAGGAUGGGAUCAUGAGUUCACAUGUCCGCAUGAUUAAAGGUAUUUUCCGGUAGACGAUGGGGAUGCGUUCCAUUAGAUAGUAGGCGGGGUAACGGCCCACCUAGUCAACGAUGGAUAGGGGUUCUGAGAGGAAGGUCCCCCACAUUGGAACUGAGACACGGUCCAA